This 801-nucleotide ribosomal RNA is filed under the name uncultured bacterium. RNAcentral describes it as "bacterial SSU rRNA". It matches the Rfam family "Bacterial small subunit ribosomal RNA", at positions 69 to 869 of the family's 1533-position model. The record is from RNAcentral.
GAACACCGCAGUGAGUAAUCACCGCGGUGUGUCUAGUGGCGAACGGGUGAGUAACACGUGAGGAACCUGCCCCGGAGACCGGAAUAGCCCAGGGAAACUUGGAUUAAUACCGGAUACCCUCGACGCUCCACAUGAAGCGACGAGGAAAUGGUCAGCCGCUCCGGGAUGGCCUCGCGCCCUAUCAGCUUGUUGGUGAGGUAACGGCUCACCAAGGCUCUGACGGGUAGCUGGUCUGAGAGGACGAUCAGCCACACUGGGACUGAGACACGGCCCAGACUCCUACGGGAGGCAGCAGCAGGGAAUAUUGCACAAUGGGCGAAAGCCUGAUGCAGCGACGCCGCGUGGGGGAUGAAUGCCUUCGGGUUGUAAACCCCUUUCAGGAGGGACGAAGCGAAAGUGACGGUACCUCCAGAAGAAGCCCCGGCCAACUACGUGCCAGCAGCCGCGGUAAUACGUAGGGGGCGAGCGUUGUCCGGAUUUAUUGGGCGUAAAGAGCUCGUAGGCGGCUCAGCAAGUCGGCCGUGAAAGCCCAGGGCUCAACCCUGGGACGCCGGUCGAAACUGCUGUGGCUAGGGUCCGGUAGAGGAGAGUGGAAUUCCCGGUGUAGCGGUGAAAUGCGCAGAUAUCGGGAGGAACACCAGUAGCGAAGGCGGCUCUCUGGGCCGGUACCGACGCUGAGGAGCGAAAGCUAGGGGAGCAAACAGGAUUAGAUACCCUGGUAGUCCUAGCCGUAAACGUUGGACACUAGGUGUGGCGGAUUCAUUGACGUCUGCCGUGCCGAAGCUAACGCAUUAAGUGUCC